Molecule: ribosomal RNA, 31 nt
Filed under: fungal sp. 4.10.3A
Lineage: Eukaryota; Fungi
Description: partial 28S ribosomal RNA
Source: RNAcentral
UUGACCCCAAAACAGGUAAGAAUACCCGCUU